CCUACCUGGUUGAUCCUGCCAGUAGUCAUAUGCUUGUCUCAAAGACUAAGCCAUGCAUGUCUAAGUACACGCCUUUAUACGGCUAAACUGCGAAUGGCUCAUUAAAUCAGUUAUGGUUCCUUAGAUAGUACACUCCUACUUGGAUAACUGUGGCAAAUCUAGAGCUAAUACAUGCGACCCAGCUCCGACCUCUCGCGGGGGACGAGCGCUUUUGUUAGCUAAAAAACCAAUCCGGGCUCUACGGUUGUCUUCGGGCUUCCGCAUUCCCGGUCUUAUAGCCUCUGUGAUGACUCUGAACAACUUUGUGCCGAUCGUAUGCCCUCGUGGCGACGACGUAUCUAUCAAAUGUCUGCCCUAUCACACUAUCGAUGGUACGUGCUAUGCCUACCACGGUGAUGACGGGUAACGGGGAAUCGGGGUUCGAUUCCGGAGAGGGAGCAUGAGAUACGGCUACCACAUCCAAGGAAGGCAGCAGGCGCGCAAAUUACCCAAUGCAGACACUGCGAGGUAGUGACGAAAAAUAACAAUGCGGGACUCUUUCGAGGCCUCGUAAUUGAAAUGAGUACACUCUAAAUCCUUGACACGAGGAUCCAUUGGAGGGCAAGUCUGGUGCCAGCAGCCGCGGUAAUUCCAGCUCCAAUAGCGUAUACACGGGUUGCUGCAGUUAAAAAGCUCGUAGUUGGAUCUCGGGCGCGGGCUCGCGGUGUGCUCGUCGAGGCGACCAUCGCUUGUCCAAGCCUCCCAGCCGGACUUUGAAAGUCCCUGGUGCUCUUCAUCGAGCGUCUUGGACGGCCGGCGUGUUUACUUUGAAGAAAUUAGAGUGCUCAAAGCAGGUCUAGCCAGCCUGAAUACUGUUGCAUGGAAUAAUGGAAUAGGACCUCGGUUCUAUUUUGUUGGUUUUGAGAGCACGAGGUAAUGAUUAAGGAAGCUGACGGGGGCUUACGUACUGCGGCGCGAGAGGUGAAAUUCUGUGACCGUCGCAAGACGAACGAGAGCGAAAGCAUUUGCCAAGCAUGUUUUCGUUAAUCAAGAACGAAAGUCAGAGGUUCGAAGACGAUCAGAUACCGUCGUAGUUCUGACUGUAAACUAUGCCAACUGUCGAUCCGCCGUGGUUACUUCAAUGACCCGGUGUGCAGCCUCCGGGAAACCAAAGUCUUUGGGUUCUGGGGGGAGUAUGGUUGCAAAGCUGAAACUUAAAGGAAUUGACGGAAGGGCACCACCAGGAGUGGAGCCUGUGGCUUAAUUUGACUCAACACGGGGAACCUUACCCGGUCCGGACACUGGUAGGAUUGACAGAAUUAGAGCUCUUUCUUGAUUCGGUGGGUGGUGGUGCAUGGCCGUUCUUAGUUCGUGGAGCGAUUUGUCUGGUUAAUUCCGAUAACGAACGAGACUCUAGCCUGCUAACUAGUCGGGGGACCGUCCUUUCCUUCGCGAGAGGCGUCCCUUCCGCAAAAGACUUCUUAGAGGGAUUGGUGGCGCUUAGCCACAUGAGAUUGAGCAAUAACAGGUCUGUGAUGCCCUUAGAUGUCUGGGGCCGCACAUGCGCUACAAUGGAUGGAUCAGCGGGCGCCAUGCCCGGCCCGAAAGGGUCUCGGGAAAUCCAUUGAACCCCAUUCGUAGUAGGGAUUGGGGAUUGAAAUUGUUUCCCAUGAACCCGGAAUUCCUCGUAAGCGCGAGUCAUCAGCUUGCGUUGAUUACGUCCCUGCCCUUUGUACACACCGCCCGUCGCUACUACCGAUUGCUCUAGUUGAUGAGCGCUUCGGAUUGGCCCCAUGUUGGCUACGCCUUUCGGGGCUGCCCUUGGCGGCUGAGAAGAUGCGCAAGUUGACCGGAGAAGAGGAAGUAAAAGUCGUAACAAGGUAUCCGUAGGUGAACCUGCGGAAGGAUCAUUA
This 1892-nucleotide ribosomal RNA is filed under the name Meretrix lyrata. Its description in RNAcentral is "SSU rRNA". It matches the Rfam family "Eukaryotic small subunit ribosomal RNA". The record is from RNAcentral. Lineage: Eukaryota; Metazoa; Mollusca; Bivalvia; Venerida; Veneridae.